GACGAACGCUGGCGGCGUGCUUAACACAUGCAAGUCGAACGGAAAGGCCUGCUUUCCCUUGUGGAUUGCGGGUACUCGAGUGGCGAACGGGUGAGUAACACGUGAGUGAUCUGCCCCCAACUUGGCUAUAAGCCUGGGAAACUGGGUCUAAUUCCCGAUAGGACUGCAGGGUGGUGCCUGUGGUGGAAAACGAUUUUCUAGUGGUUGGGGAUGAGCUCGCGGCCUAUCAGCUUGUUGGUGGGGUAAUGGCCUACCAAGGCGGCGACGGGUAGCCGGCCUGAGAGGGUGGACGGCCACAUUGGGACUGAGAUACGGCCCAGACGCCUACGGGAGGCAGCAGUGGGGAAUAUUGCACAAUGGGCGGAAGCCUGAUGCAGCGACGCCGCGUGGGGGAUGACGGCCUUCGGGUUGUAAACUCCUUUCGACCGCGAGGAAGCCACCUGGUUGGAAGGGUGGUGACGGUAGUGGUAGAAGAAGCACCGGCUAACUACGU
Molecule: ribosomal RNA, 493 nt
Filed under: uncultured bacterium
Lineage: Bacteria
Description: partial 16S ribosomal RNA
Rfam family: Bacterial small subunit ribosomal RNA
Source: RNAcentral